CAGUCGCCGCGGUAAUACGAAGGGGGCUAGCGUUGUUCGGAUUUACUGGGCGUAAAGGGCGCGUAGGCGGGCGAAUCAGUCAGGGGUGAAAUCCCAAGGCUCAACCUUGGAACUGCCUUUGAUACUGUUUGUCUUGAGUUCGAGAGAGGUAAGUGGAACUGCGAGUGUAGAGGUGAAAUUCGUAGAUAUUCGCAAGAACACCAGUGGCGAAGGCGGCUUACUGGCCCGAAACUGACGCUGAGGCGCGAAAGCGUGGGGAGCAAACAGGAUUAGAGACCCCGGUAGUCCCUGUCUCUUAUAC
RNAcentral lists this ribosomal RNA (301 nucleotides) under uncultured bacterium. RNAcentral's name for it is "partial 16S ribosomal RNA". It matches the Rfam family "Bacterial small subunit ribosomal RNA", at positions 509 to 807 of the family's 1533-position model. The record is from RNAcentral.